UACAGAGGGUGCAAGCGUUGUCCGGAAUCACUGGGCGUAAAGGGCGCGUAGGCGGCCCGGUAAGUAGGGGGUGAAAUCUCACGGCUCAACUGUGAGGCUGCCUUCUAGACUGCCAGGCUCGAGCACAGUAGAGGCUGGUGGAAUUCCCGGUGUAGCGGUGGAAUGCGUAGAGAUCGGGAAGAACAUCUGUGGCGAAGGCGGCUAGCUGGGAUGUUGCUGACGCUGAUGCGCGAAAGCGUGGGGAGCAAACAGG
Molecule: ribosomal RNA, 253 nt
Filed under: uncultured bacterium
Lineage: Bacteria
Description: partial 16S ribosomal RNA
Rfam family: Bacterial small subunit ribosomal RNA
Source: RNAcentral